This 238-nucleotide unclassified non-coding RNA is filed under the name Hevea brasiliensis (rubber tree). The record is from RNAcentral. Lineage: Eukaryota; Viridiplantae; Streptophyta; Magnoliopsida; Malpighiales; Euphorbiaceae.
GUAUAAGUUGUAAAGAGGCCUACAUUGCAUAUGUAAAAGACGGUGAUAGAAGGGAUACUAGCUCACAUUUGGCUAGGCAACCCCCACACAAGUUUUUUCCAGAUACAGCAGUUGAAUAAUCCCAGACAAAGCAGAAGAGAGUCAAACAACUUCCAUAAGAACCUAGCAGAUGGGAUUUACAGAUCCCGGAAGACUAAAGAUAAAAGAGUCAAAGAGUGUUUAGUAGCUGAAAAUUUCA